RNAcentral lists this ribosomal RNA (448 nucleotides) under uncultured bacterium. Its description in RNAcentral is "partial 16S ribosomal RNA". It matches the Rfam family "Bacterial small subunit ribosomal RNA", at positions 29 to 523 of the family's 1533-position model. The record is from RNAcentral.
AACGAACGCUGGCGGCAGGCUUAACACAUGCAAGUCGAACGAGAUCUUCGGAUCUAGUGGCAGACGGGUGAGGAACACGUGGGAACAACCCUUUCAGUUCGGAAUAACGUUGGGAAACUAACGCUAAUACCGGAUACGUCCUUCGGGAGAAAGAUUUAUCGCUGAAAGAUUGGCCCGCGUCUGAUUAGCUAGUUGGUGAGGUAACGGCUCACCAAGGCUACGAUCAGUAGCUGAUCUGAGAGGAUGAUCAGCCACAUUGGACUGAGACACGGCCCAAACUCCUACGGGAGGCAGCAGUGGGGAAUAUUGGACAAUGGGCGCAAGCCUGAUCCAGCCAUGCCGCGUGAGUGAUGACGGCCUUCGGGUUGUAAAGCUCUUUUGUCCGGGAAGAUAAUGACUGUACCGGAAGAAUAAGCCCCGGCAAACUUCGUGCCAGCAGCCGCCGUAA